AGUCGAACGGAUCCUUCGGGAUUAGUGGCAGACGGGUGAGUAACGCGUGGGAAGCUACCUUGUGGUAGGGGACAACAGUUGGAAACGACUGCUAAUACCCUAUGAGCCCUAUGGGGGAAAGAUUUAUCGCCAUGAGAUGUGCCCGCGUUAGAUUAGCUAGUUGGUAAGGUAAUGGCUUACCAAGGCGACGAUCUAUAGCUGGUCUGAGAGGAUGAUCAGCCACACUGGGACUGAGACACGGCCCAGACUCCUACGGGAGGCAGCAGUGGGGAAUAUUGGACAAUGGGGGCAACCCUGAUCCAGCCAUGCCGCGUGUGUGAUGACGGCCUUAGGGUUGUAAAGCACUUUCAGCAGUGAAGAUAAUGACAUUAACUGCAGAAGAAGCCCCGGCUAACUUCGUGCCAGCAGCCGCGGUAAUACGAAGGGGGCUAGCGUUGUUCGGAAUCACUGGGCGUAAAGAGUACGUAGGCGGACUGAUAAGUUAGGGGUGAAAUCCCAAGGCUCAACCUUGGAACUGCCUUUGAUACUGUCAGUCUUGAGAUCGAGAGAGGUGAGUGGAACUCCGAGUGUAGAGGUGAAAUUCGUAGAUAUUCGGAAGAACACCAGUGGCGAAGGCGGCUCACUGGCUCGAUACUGACGCU
This 641-nucleotide ribosomal RNA is filed under the name Pseudovibrio sp. Pv233. RNAcentral's name for it is "bacterial SSU rRNA". It matches the Rfam family "Bacterial small subunit ribosomal RNA", at positions 60 to 747 of the family's 1533-position model. RNAcentral also lists the same sequence under 1 other name. The record is from RNAcentral. Lineage: Bacteria; Pseudomonadati; Pseudomonadota; Alphaproteobacteria; Hyphomicrobiales; Stappiaceae.